Hevea brasiliensis (rubber tree) is the source of this 3241-nucleotide ribosomal RNA. The record is from RefSeq and is a predicted model, not a curated record. Lineage: Eukaryota; Viridiplantae; Streptophyta; Magnoliopsida; Malpighiales; Euphorbiaceae.
CGACCCCAGGUCAGGCGGGAACACCCGCUGAGUUUAAGCAUAUCAAUAAGCGGAGGAAAAGAAACUUACCAGGAUUCCCCUAGUAACGGUGAGUGAAUCGGGAAGAGCCCAGCUUGAGAAUCGGGCGCCCUCGGUGUCCGAAUUAUAGUAUGGAGAAGCGUCCUCAGUGACGGACCGGGCCCAAGUCCCCUGGAAGGGGGCGCCGGAGAGGGUGAGAGCCCCGUCAUGCUCGGACCCUGUCGCACCACGAGGCGCUGUCUGCGAUUCGGGUUGUUUGGGAAUGCAGCCCCAAUCGGGCGGUAAAUUCCGUCCAAGGCUAAAUACGUGCGAGAGACCGAUAGCGAACAAGUACCGCGAGGGAAAGAUGAAAAGGACUUUGAAAAGAGAGUCAAAGAGUGCUUGAAAUUGUCGGGAGGGAAGCAGAUGGGGGCCGGCAAUGCGCCCCGGUCGGAUGUGGAACGGCGACAAGCCGAUCCCCCGAUCGGCUCGGGGCGCGGACCGACGCGGAUCGCAGCGGCGGCCCAAGCCCGAGCACUAGAAACGCCCGCGGAGACGCCGUCGCAGCGAUCGUGGACAGCAGCGCGCGCCAUCAUGGCGUGCCCGGCACCGCCGCGCUCGGCAUCGGCGGUGGGCUCCCCAUUCGGCCGUCUUGAAACACGGACCAAGGAGUCGACAUGUGCGAGUCAGCGGGCGAGUAAACCCGUAAGCGCAAGGAAGGCGGUGGCGGGAUCCUCGAGGUUGCUGCCGGCCGACCUCGAUCUUACGAGAAGGGUUCGGUGAGAGCAUGCUGUCGGGACCGAAAGAUGGUGAACUAUGCUGGCGGGGCGAAGCGGAGAAACUCUGGUGGAGGCCCGCAGCGAUCUUGACGUGCAAAUCGUUCAUCGACUUGGGUAUAGGGGCAAAAGACUAAUCGAACCGUCUAGUAGCUUGUGCCCUCCGAAGUUUCCCUCCGGCUAGCUGGAGCUCGGCACGAGUUCUAUCGGGUAACGCCAAUGAUGAGAGGCAUAGGGGGCGCACCGCCCUCGACCUAUUCUCAAACUUUAAAUAGGUAGGGCCAGCGGCUGCUUACCGAGCGCGCCACGGAAUCGAGAGCUCCAAGUGGGCCAUUUUUGGUAGCGAGCGGCGAUGCGGGAUGAGCGGCGGGUUACGGUGCCCAAGCUGCGUGCUAACCCGAACCCACAAAGGUGUUAGUCGAUUAAGACAGCGGGGCGGUGGUCAUGGAAGUCGAAAUCCGCUAAGGAGUGUGUAACAACUCACCUACCAAAUCAACUAGCCCGAAAAUGGAUGGCGCUUAGCGCGCGACCUAUCUACGCCAUCGGGGCAAGAGCGAGCCCCGAUGAGUAGGAGGCGCGGCGGCAUUGUAAAACCGGGCGCGAGCGGCGGAGCGGCCGUCGGUGCGGAUCUUAGUGGUAGUAGUAAAUAUUCAAAUGAGAACUUUGAAGGCGAAGAGGAAAGGUUCCAUGUGAGCGGCACUUGCACAUGGGUUAGUCGAUCCUAAGAGGCGGGGAAGCCCGUCCGACAGCGCAUCCGCGUCACGAGCGAAAGGGAAUCGGGUUAAAAUUCCCGAGCGGACGCGGUGGUAGCGGCCUCGGGAAGAGUUAUCUUUUACGUUUAACAACCCGCCCACCUAGAAACGACUCGAUCGGAGGUAGGGUCCGGCUGGAAGAGAACCGCAUGUCGCGCGGUGUCGAUCGCCCCGGCCGUGAAAAUCGGAGGACCGAGUGCCUCCGCGCCCGAUCGUACUCAUAACGCAUCAGUCUCCAAGGUGAGCGACCUGCGGCCAAUGGAACAAUGUAGGCAAGGGAUGUCGGCAAAAUGGAUCCGUAACCUCGGGAAAAUGAUUGGCUCACGAGGUGGGCGGGGUCCCGAUCCGAACACGUCAUUGUCGGCAAUUCUUGGAGCGCUCCAUGGCGAGCGGUAGCAGCGUCUUGGCCGGACGGGCGAGAGCGGCCUCGGGGGCCUUCCGGCGUCGAGCGAUUGACUCGAACUAAAUGCGGAUAAGGGAAUCCAUUGUUUAAUUAAAACAAAGCAUUGCGAUGGUCCACUGCGGAUGCUCACGCAAUGUGAUUUACGCGAUGCUCUGAAUGUCAAAGUGAAGAAAUUCAACCAAGCGCGGGUAAGCGGUGGGAGUAACUAUGACUCUCUUAAGGUAGCCAAAUGCCUCGUCAUCUAAUUAGUGACGCGCAUGAAUAGACUACCGAGAUUCCCACUUGUCCUGUCAACUAUCGGCGAAACCACGGCCAAAGGAGCGGGCUUGGCGAGAAUCGUGAGGAAAGAAGACCUGUUGAGCUUCACUCUAGUCCGACUUUGUGAAAUGACUUGAGAGGUGUAGGAUAAGUGGGAGCGAAGCGGCGACGGUGAAAUACCACUACUUUUAACGUUAUUUUACUUAUUCCGUGAAUCGGAGGCGGGGCCUCGCCUCUUUUUGGACCCAAGGCGCCAUGGCGGCCGAUCCGGCGAAAGACAUUGUCGGUGGGGAGUUUGGUGGGCGGCACAUCUGUUAAAAGAUAACACGGUGUCCUAAGAUGAGCUCAACGAGAACAAAAAUCUCGUGUGGAACAAAAGGGUAAAAGCUCGUUUGAUUACGAUUUCGAUGCAGAAUCUGAACCGUGAAAGCGUGGCCUAUCGAUCCUUUAGACCUUCGGAAUUUGAAGCUAGAGGUGUCGGAAAAGUUACCACGGGGAUAAGCGGCUUGUGGCGUGCAGCGUUCAUAGCGGCGUUGCUUUUGAUCCUUCGAUGUCGGCUCUUCCUAUCAUUGUGAAGCGAAAUUCACCAAGUGUUGGAUUGUUCACCCACCAAUAGGGAGCGUGGUGGGUUUAGACCGUCGUGAGACAAGUUAGUUUUACCCUGCGAUGACCGGCGUCGCGAUGGUAAUUCAACCUAGUACGAGAGAACCGUUGAUUCGCACAAUUGGUUAUCGCGCUUGGUUGAAAAGCGAUGGCGUGAAGCUCUUGUCUUAUUUGGAUUAUGGUGAACGCCUCUAAGUCGAGAAUCCGGGCGAGCGACGCCGUGUCCGGCGCCCGCUUGCCGACCCCGGUAGGAGCCAUCCGCCCCGAGGCGCGUCCGUUGGCCAAGCCCCCGCGGCGGACGAGCCGUGCGGGCUGCCUUGAAGUACUAUUCCCACCGGGCGUCGGGCAGAAUCCUCUGCAGAUGACUUAAAUAUGCGACGGGGUAUUGUAAGUGGCAGAGUGGCCUUGCUGCCAUGAUCCACUGAGAUUCAGCCCUUUGUCGCUCAGGUCGU